UCUCUGUACCUUAUCUCUGAAUGGAAAAUAUAACGUUCUGUCUCAUAAAAUCAUUUGCAUGAUUUUGCAUGAAUUGCUGUUUGUUCAAAAACACUAUCAAAAGUCAUGUUUAUUAUUGUUUAUUCUCUUUUCCAUUGCAACCAGAGCUGGCUGCCUUCCUAAUGAGCCGGAAAUGACUUCUUUGGAACAGGAAUUUGAAAAGAAGAAAGAAGAGAACUUAUAAGGCUGCAGAAAACUGGAAACAGACUCAAUAUGUCGAAGAGAAAGUUUACUGUAUGAUUUUUUAGUGAUUGGUGGAUUUAUAGUCCAAGCCACUUAAUGUGCAUUAUUUUAUUUAUUUUUUUAGUGUCAUUAAAAAAUAAUGGAUUGCGUUAAGGAAAUCUCUUGAAUCUAAAUCAACAUCAAGCUGAAAUGUGCAAAUUGAACUCUGUCCUAGAUAUUAGUAUAUAUUAUUAAGCCAAAAUAUUAUGUUAAUUCUGCAUGUUUGUUUAAAAAUAACAAUUGUAGUAAUAUAGUAAAAUAAUAGACGAGGUUGAAGAAAAAAGUUCAAGAUAAACCUUCUCAGAUCCCAUGUGAGUUUUGCCUUUAUAAUGAAGCAUAUGUCCAAUAUGACUAAUAAUUGCACUAGGUAUUAUAAGCUCAGAUACUAUAUUUUUCCUUUUACAGUGCAUAAAGGUGUGUAGUAAUACCUUCCUCCCUAAAAUUCUUAAACAAUGCUCACGACUUGACUGUGAAGUAUUGUUUUCUUUGUUAAAGAUGAAAUCUCCUUUCCUCUAGCAUUAAGGGAUGACCUCUUGUCACAUACAAUUGUUUGUAUGAAAAGAGCUUCUAACAAAUACCCAUACGUACCUCAUAUAUAUUUAUACAGUCAAGUGUAUUUACUUAAAGUUCACGUAAAGUUUUUAAACCUUGAUGUAUGUUGCAUAUAAGUCAUAGCUAAUCACAGACUUGUAAAUUAUUAUUCAGAAUUCCUUUAAGUGGAGACUUAAACAUUUGACAUAUUAAAAGUAUAUGGCAAAUAAACCAAGCUAUACAAACUUUCCUUUCACAAAUGUUACAACAUGUUGUAUGCUUACAAGGGUAUGAUAUAUGAUAUUAAAUCUUCUGUAAAGUGUUUGAUUAAGCAUAGUAAAUAAUACAUAUUG
This is a long non-coding RNA of Bombina bombina (fire-bellied toad), 1145 nucleotides long. RefSeq lists it as uncharacterized. The transcript is spliced from 2 exons. The record is from RefSeq and is a predicted model, not a curated record. NCBI's taxonomy places the organism in Eukaryota, Metazoa, Chordata, Amphibia, Anura, Bombinatoridae.